Prionailurus viverrinus (fishing cat) is the source of this 257-nucleotide long non-coding RNA. RefSeq lists it as uncharacterized. The record is from RefSeq and is a predicted model, not a curated record. The transcript is spliced from 3 exons. Lineage: Eukaryota; Metazoa; Chordata; Mammalia; Carnivora; Felidae.
GUGGAGCCUCCGCCGUCCUGUCAGAGAGAGGUUCUGGGGCCUUCGAGUCGGCGCCAGUGCAGUCUCUGAGGCGCCCUCACCACAGCGGAGCCUGCUGGCUAAGGACAGGACUUUGGCAAGGAACAUGAAACUCAAAAUGCCUUCACUUAUUAUAAACUUGAUGCAUUAUUAUAGGUGAGAAAGAUUUGCAACUGGGAGGACUCAUUGUUCUUUGGAUGGCUGCUGUUUCUUUAAAUUGGGUGAAAAAACUGUACAGU